CAUGCACCAGUGGGGUCCCUCGGCCUGGCCUGCACCCUCUUGAAAUCCAGGAUCCCUUGGGGAAUGUAGGAGAGCUGGUGUCAGCCUGACCCCUGCAUGCCAGGCCGAGGGACCCCACUGGUGCAUG
RNAcentral lists this microRNA precursor (127 nucleotides) under Myotis brandtii (Brandt's bat). RNAcentral describes it as "mir-9193 microRNA precursor family". It matches the Rfam family "mir-9193 microRNA precursor family". The record is from Rfam by way of RNAcentral. Lineage: Eukaryota; Metazoa; Chordata; Mammalia; Chiroptera; Vespertilionidae.